This 546-nucleotide ribosomal RNA is filed under the name uncultured Haemophilus sp. RNAcentral describes it as "partial 16S ribosomal RNA". The record is from RNAcentral. Lineage: Bacteria; Pseudomonadati; Pseudomonadota; Gammaproteobacteria; Pasteurellales; Pasteurellaceae.
UACUCCCCAGGCGGUCGAUUUAUCACGUUAGCUACGGGCGCCAAACUUAAAGUUCAACCCCCAAAUCGACAUCGUUUACAGCGUGGACUACCAGGGUAUCUAAUCCUGUUUGCUCCCCACGCUUUCGCACAUGAGCGUCAGUACAUUCCCAAGGGGCUGCCUUCGCCUUCGGUAUUCCUCCACAUCUCUACGCAUUUCACCGCUACACGUGGAAUUCUACCCCUCCCUAAAGUACUCUAGCGACCCAGUAUGAAAUGCAAUUCCCAGGUUAAGCCCGGGGCUUUCACACCUCACUUAAGUCACCGCCUGCGUGCCCUUUACGCCCAGUUAUUCCGAUUAACGCUCGCACCCUCCGCAUUACCGCGGCUGCUGGCACGGAGUUAGCCGGUGCUUCUUCUGUAGUUAACGUCAAUCAUCUAGUCUAUUAAACUAAAUGCCUUCCUCGCUACCGAAAGAACUUUACAACCCGAAGGCCUUCUUCAUUCACGCGGCAUGGCUGCGUCAGGGUUGCCCCCAUUGCGCAAUAUUCCCCACUGCUGCCUCCCG